RNAcentral lists this ribosomal RNA (253 nucleotides) under uncultured bacterium. RNAcentral describes it as "partial 16S ribosomal RNA". It matches the Rfam family "Bacterial small subunit ribosomal RNA", at positions 524 to 776 of the family's 1533-position model. The record is from RNAcentral.
UACGAGGGGGGCAAGCGUUGUUCGGAAUUAUUGGGCGUAAAGGGCGCGUAGGCGGUGCGGUAAGUCACCUGUGAAAACUCUGGGCUCAACUCAGAGCCUGCAGGCGAAACUGCCGUGCUGGAGUGUGGGAGAGGUGCGUGGAAUUCCUGGUGUAGCGGUGAAAUGCGUAGAUAUCAGGAGGAACACCUGUGGCGAAAGCGGCGCACUGGACCACAACUGACGCUGAGGCGCGAAAGCUAGGGGAGCAAACAGG